This 487-nucleotide ribosomal RNA is filed under the name uncultured bacterium. RNAcentral describes it as "bacterial SSU rRNA". It matches the Rfam family "Bacterial small subunit ribosomal RNA", at positions 30 to 507 of the family's 1533-position model. The record is from RNAcentral.
UGAACGCUAGCGGCAGGCUUAACACAUGCAAGUCGAGGGGCAGCAUAACAUUGCUUGCAAUGUUUGAUGGCGACCGGCGCACGGGUGCGUAACGCGUAUGUAACCUACCUCAAACAGGGGCAUAACACUGAGAAAUUGGUACUAAUUCCCCCAUAACACUUUAGGAGGCAUCUUCUGGAGUUGAAAGUUCAGGCGGUUAUGGAUGGGCAUGCGUUGUAUUAGCUAGAUGGUGAGGUAACGGCUCACCAUGGCUACGAUACAUAGGGGGACUGAGAGGUUAACCCCCCACACUGGUACUGAGACACGGACCAGACUCCUACGGGAGGCAGCAGUGAGGAAUAUUGGUCAAUGGGCGAGAGCCUGAACCAGCCAAGUAGCGUGAAGGAAGACUGCCCUAUGGGUUGUAAACUUCUUUUGUUCGGGAAUAAAGUGCAGUACGCGUACUGUUUUGUAUGUACCGUUCGAAUAAGCAUCGGCUAAUUCCGUG